Molecule: long non-coding RNA, 1607 nt
Organism: Oncorhynchus gorbuscha (pink salmon)
Lineage: Eukaryota; Metazoa; Chordata; Actinopteri; Salmoniformes; Salmonidae
Exons: 2
Source: RefSeq, a predicted model, not a curated record
UACCCCCGGGCUGUGGACAGCUCAAUUAACUUCAUUUCAAAACCCAAUUUAUUCAUCCUAAAAGGCAUAUCUCCUUUAUAGUGCACUGCUGUUGACCAGAGUCCUAUGGGUCCUGGUCAAAAUUUGCGCACUACAUAGGGAAUAGGGUGCAAUUUGUAAUACAGGCCAAGGGAGGGUAAAGUUACCCUUUUUAUAAUGGUCAAGUGUUGCAAUGCUCUCUAGUACUGCUGGGUGAAAUGAACAGUGCAUUUGAUAAACAAAAACAUUGAUUGGUUGCAUCAAAAGCAUUAAAGCAACAUGGGCUUCCUUGAAUUGCAAAUUAGCAUCUUCUACUGAGUCAUAUUGUCUGGUCUGUGUACUCUGGCGGAACUAGUGUUAGGUUGUAGUAGUAGGGGGGUAUAUCAUCUAGGACUGUUCAUCCAUGCCUUGUGUUUUGCAUAGCAAGCCGUUCACUAGGCGAGGAGAGUUUUUUUCCACCUCAAUACAGUUUCUAUCUUUGGAAUGGAGAAAAUUGAGUCAAUUAUACUUUAACACAAAUUUAAGUCUCAUUGAACUUGGUGUUUAUCAAUUCGUGUUCAUGGGAGGGAAAACAUUUUGGUUACAUUUGAAUUUGAAACGAUUACAUUUACAUUUUAGUCAUUCAGCGGACGCUCUUAUCCAGAGCGACUUACAAGUAGUGCAUUCAUCUUAAGAUGGUUGGGUGAGACAACCACAUAUCGGUCAUAACUAUUUUGAGGGAUAAUGUACUUGCUAUCAGUGAAGUCAGUUCUUUUUUUAUUUGUUGGGGUUUGCCGUUAACUUAAAAUUUAACAAUGUUUACUUCACCGUAUUUCCACAGUACAUAGUCACAUUCACACUCCAGCCAGGUCCAUCUCCAGUGAGACUACGGAGCAGGCGUACUAAUAACAGAGUGAUAGCACCGUAAUAACAGAAAUAUAGGGUUAUAGUUAAAACAUGAACUUACCAAUCUCCCACAAAUAAAACAUCAACAAAAUAAUUAAAUGUCCCAAGUAUUAUUUAAGUUGGGUUGUGUAACAGUUUUUAUUUUUAUUACUCAAGCUGCCACUUUCCAUUACUGGGUGCCUUUAGGAGCACAAGACCGUAUGCUCCCUUUUUAGUCAGGCAGUCAGACAGCUGCUCCUUUGUGGCCAACCUGGAAAACAGCUUUGAGGUGUGGAAUCACAGUCGUAGCAAAGGCCUGUGAGCCUCCCCCAGAUGAAGCCAUCGACAUGACUGUACAGCCCCUGCCUUCUUGAGGGAAGCUUUGCUCAAAACUUCUUAUGGGUUGGGCGCAGUAUUUCGACAUCUGGAUGAGAAGCGUGCCCAAAGUAAACUGCCUUUUACUCAGGCCCAGAAGCUAGGAUAUGCAUAUAAUUAGUAGAUUUCAAUAGAAAACACUCUAAAGUUUCCAAAACUGUUAAAAUGUCUGAGUAUAAUUGAACUGAUAUGGCAGGUGAAAACCUGAGGAAAAUCCAUCCAGGAAGUGUUAUUUUUUAUGUGGGUAUUUUCAAUUGAAUGCUUAGAGCUGGCUGGUGUGUUUACGGACUUAUUCAAUGGCCCAUAUACUUACUUUCCACCAUAAUUUGCAAAUAAAUUCAUUAAAAAUC